RNAcentral lists this ribosomal RNA (593 nucleotides) under uncultured fungus. RNAcentral describes it as "eukaryotic LSU rRNA". It matches the Rfam family "Eukaryotic large subunit ribosomal RNA", at positions 40 to 647 of the family's 3401-position model. Lineage: Eukaryota; Fungi. The record is from RNAcentral.
AUAUCAAUAAGCGGAGGAAAAGAAACCAACAGGGAUUGCCUCAGUAACGGCGAGUGAAGCGGCAAAAGCUCAAAUUUGAAAUCUGGCUCUUUCAGGGUCCGAGUUGUAAUUUGUAGAAGAUGUUUCGGGUGUGGCUCCGGUUUAAGUUCUUUGGAAUAUUACAUCAUAGAGGGUGAGAAUCCCGUAUGUGACCGGCAGCCUUCGUCCAUGUGAAACUCUUUCGACGAGUCGAGUUGUUUGGGAAUGCAGCUCAAAAUGGGAGGUAUAUUUCUUCUAAAGCUAAAUAUUGGCCAGAGACCGAUAGCGCACAAGUAGAGUGAUCGAAAGAUGAAAAGCACUUUGGAAAGAGAGUUAAACAGUACGUGAAAUUGUUGAAAGGGAAGCGCUUGCAACCAGACUUGCACGCAGUUGAUCAUCCGGUGUUCUCACCGGGGCACUCUGCUGCGUUCAGGCCAGCAUCGGUUUUGGUGGUUGGAUAAAGGCCUUGGGAAUGUGGCUUCCUUCGGGGAGUGUUAUAGCCCUCGGUGCAAUGCAGCCUACCGGGACCGAGGACCGCGCUUCGGCUAGGAUGCUGGCGUAAUGGUUGUAAGCGA